CCUACGGGGGGCUGCAGUGAGGAAUAUUGGUCAAUGGGCGCGAGCCUGAACCAGCCAAGUAGCGUGAAGGAUGACUGCCCUCCGGGUUGUAAACUUCUUUUAUAAAGGAAUAAAGUGAGGCACGUGUGCCUUUCUGUAUGUACUUUAUGAAUAAGGCUCGGCUAACUCCGUGCCAGCAGCCGCGGUAAUACGGAGGAUCCGAGCGUUAUCCGGAUUUAUUGGGUUUAAAGGGAGCGUAGAUGGGUUGUUAAGUCAGUUGUGAAAGUUUGCGGCUCAACCGUAAAAUUGCAAUUGAUACUGGCAUUCUUGAGUACAGUUGAGGUAGGCGGAAUUCGUGGUGUAGCGGUGAAAUGCUUAGAUAUCACGAAGAACUCCGAUUGCGAAGGCAGCUUACUAAACUGCCACUGACAUUGAUGCGCGAAAGUGUGGGUAGCAAACAGGAUUAGAUACCCUUGUAGUC
RNAcentral lists this ribosomal RNA (460 nucleotides) under uncultured bacterium. RNAcentral describes it as "partial 16S ribosomal RNA". It matches the Rfam family "Bacterial small subunit ribosomal RNA", at positions 338 to 795 of the family's 1533-position model. The record is from RNAcentral.